Molecule: ribosomal RNA, 295 nt
Filed under: Escherichia coli
Lineage: Bacteria; Pseudomonadati; Pseudomonadota; Gammaproteobacteria; Enterobacterales; Enterobacteriaceae
Also listed under: 1 other name
Description: partial 16S ribosomal RNA
Rfam family: Bacterial small subunit ribosomal RNA
Source: RNAcentral
AAAUUGAAGAGUUUGAUCAUGGCUCAGAUUGAACGCUGGCGGCAGGCCUAACACAUGCAAGUCGAACGGUAACAGGAAGCAGCUUGCUGCUUCGCUGACGAGUGGCGGACGGGUGAGUAAUGUCUGGGAAACUGCCUGAUGGAGGGGGAUAACUACUGGAAACGGUAGCUAAUACCGCAUAAUGUCGCAAGACCAAAGAGGGGGACCUUCGGGCCUCUUGCCAUCGGAUGUGCCCAGAUGGGAUUAGCUUGUUGGUGGGGUAACGGCUCACCAAGGCGACGAUCCCUAGCUGGUC